CUUAAAGGGAAACGACUUUGGACUCACGUAGGCAUAGGAGAACGAAACUUCUGUACAUUUUAAUCUGAAUAAUUCUUCAGGAUUUAAAAUUAAUUGGCUCUGGCUUGGUUGGACCGUACUCGGAUCUCGCCACCUCUGCGUUUCCCGAGUCACUGGCGAAGAGGUCCCAGUUCCUCUGGGAAUCGUCCUGUAUGCAACAUCUUCACAAGAGUGGCAGGCAGUUGAAUCUCUGGCCUUCGUGGGACCACUGGACAUCUGGCAGAGAACCAGGAAACCACGGUUCCCUUCUGUGAGUCCCUCAGCCGGAAAACUACAAGAAUGAAAAAAAUGCAUGGCAUACAUCACCAAGAAUCAAAGGUUGUGCCUGGCAGUGUAAUUGACUAUGUAAUAAAGAGAGAAGCUUUGCUAGCUCCUCAUGCAGCUGCUGUCUACAGACCCCCUGGACUGCCUGGGGAAGUGAGUCGGAGCUCCUGCAGCAGAGGGGUGGAACAGCUACACGAAGAUCCGAAGGUGGCCAAAAAUAACAGCGCUUUCCAGAUGAGGGAGCCAGUUGUCCAGCACAGUGUCAUGGGACAGUGGGCCCUGGUGCCACAAUGCCCGGCAUCUCCACCAGAUACAGCUUUGAGAUCUUCAUGAUGAAGCUUGCUCCAAUCCAAGGGCUGUCAGGUGGGGUUUGCGGUUCAGCUGCUAACCUUUCUUUGAUCCAAAUCCUGUCUUCACUGGCUUCAAGAAUCCUGUCUUCACUGGCUUCAAAACUGGGAUGAAGGAGGCUCCUUAGUGGAGAGCAAAGCAAAGAGAAACUCAAAUUGGAUCCAUAUUAAAGAAGAGAAGGAUGGAUUUGUUUAGACAACACAAACCUAGGAAGGGUUUGAGAGGUGAAACAAACUGGGUUAUGGAUGAACGGGGGCAAUUGGAAUGUAGAAUUGAAGCAGUAAUUAACAUCUUGGUUUCAUCUGGGUGUUUGGCAUCAUGUUCAGAAAUGUGAAAAAUAAAAUUCAGCACCGUUAUUACUGAAUUAGAUAAAAUGAUUGUAUUUAAUUAAUCCGUAAAUAUUAACUAAUUAUUCUGUUUACCAUAACAUGUAAUGAAUAUAAUUCUCCACCAGGCAAAUAAAGAAAGAAAGAUGUAAUUAGGUGAUUUAAGCAUAAAAAAAAAAAAAAA
Molecule: long non-coding RNA, 1161 nt
Filed under: Homo sapiens (human)
Lineage: Eukaryota; Metazoa; Chordata; Mammalia; Primates; Hominidae
Description: NR2F2 antisense RNA 1, transcript variant 1 (NR2F2-AS1)
Source: RNAcentral